RNAcentral lists this ribosomal RNA (459 nucleotides) under uncultured bacterium. RNAcentral describes it as "bacterial SSU rRNA". It matches the Rfam family "Bacterial small subunit ribosomal RNA", at positions 26 to 507 of the family's 1533-position model. The record is from RNAcentral.
AGGACGAACGCUGGCGGCGUGCUUAACACAUGCAAGUCGAACGAUGAAGCUCUUCGGGGUGGAUUAGUGGCGAACGGGUGAGUAACACGUGAGUAACCUGCCCUUCUCUCUGGGAUAACUGUGGGAAACUGCAGCUAAUACCGGAUAUUCACUUUCUCUCGCAUGGGGGUUGGUGGAAAGUUUUUCGGUGGGGGAUGGACUCGCGGCCUAUCAGCUUGUUGGUGAGGUAGUGGCUUACCAAGGCUUUGACGGGUAGCCGGCCUGAGAGGGCGACCGGCCACACUGGGACUGAGAUACGGCCCAGACUCCUACGGGAGGCAGCAGUGGGGAAUAUUGCACAAUGGGCGGAAGCCUGAUGCAGCAACGCCGCGUGCGGGAUGAAGGCCUUCGGGUUGUAAACCGCUUUCAGCUCCGACGAAUGUGACGGUAGGAGCAGAAGAAGCACCGGCUAACUACGUG